AUCGAACGCUGGCGGCAGGCCUAACACAUGCAAGUCGAACGAGUGGCGGAAGGGUGAGUAAUGUCUGGGAAACUGCCUGAUGGAGGGGGAUAACUACUGGAAACGGACGCUAAUACCGCAUACCAUCAGAAGUGCCCAGAGGGGAAUAGCUGGUUGGUGGGGUAACGGCUCACCAAGGCGACGAUCCCUAGCUGGUCUGAGAGGCUGACCGGCCACACGGGAAAUGAGACACGGUCCGGACGCCUACGGGGGGCAGCGGUGGGGAAUAUUGCACAAGGGGCGCAAGCCUAAUGCGGCCAUGCCGCGUGUAUGAGGAAGGCCUUCGGUUUGUAAAGUACGUUCAGCGGGGAGGCGGUACCCGCAGAGGAAGCACCGGCUAACUCCGUGCCAGCAGCCGCGGUAAUAC
RNAcentral lists this ribosomal RNA (406 nucleotides) under uncultured bacterium. RNAcentral's name for it is "partial 16S ribosomal RNA". It matches the Rfam family "Bacterial small subunit ribosomal RNA", at positions 29 to 526 of the family's 1533-position model. The record is from RNAcentral.